This is a non-coding RNA of Oryza nivara, 205 nucleotides long. Lineage: Eukaryota; Viridiplantae; Streptophyta; Magnoliopsida; Poales; Poaceae. The record is from Rfam.
UAUAAGUGCAACCAUAAGUUUCCACGUCCAACUUUGAUCGUUCGUCUUAUUUGAAAGUUUUUUAUAAUUAAUAUUUUUAUUGUUAUGAGAUGAUAAAAUAUAAAUAGUACUUUACUCGUGACUUAUGUUUUUAAAUUUUUUCAAAAAUUUUUCAAAUAAGACGGACGGUCAAAGUUGGGCGCGGAAAACCAUAGUUGCACUUAUA